AGCGGACGCUGGCGGCAGGCCUAACACAUGCAAGUCGAACAAACUCUUCGGAGUUAGUGGCGGACGGGUGAGUAACACGUGGGAACGUGCCUUUUGGUUCGGAAUAACUCAGGGAAACUUGUGCUAAUACCGAAUGUGCCCUUCGGGGGAAAGAUUUAUCGCCAUUAGAGCGGCCCGCGUCUGAUUAGCUAGUUGGUGAGGUAACGGCUCACCAAGGCGACGAUCAGUAGCUGGUCUGAGAGGAUGACCAGCCACACUGGGACUGAGACACGGCCCAGACUCCUACGGGAGGCAGCAGUGGGGAAUCUUGCGCAAUGGGCGAAAGCCUGACGCAGCCAUGCGGCGUGAAUGAUGAAGGUCUUAGGAUUGUAAAAUUCUUUCACCGGGGACGAUAAUGACGGUACCCGGAGAAGAAGCCCCGGCUAACUUCGUG
Molecule: ribosomal RNA, 433 nt
Filed under: uncultured bacterium
Lineage: Bacteria
Description: partial 16S ribosomal RNA
Rfam family: Bacterial small subunit ribosomal RNA
Source: RNAcentral